CAGUGAGACCUCCAAGGAAGGAGAUGCCAAGUAGUGCUUCAAAGCUUCGGACCACAAUCAAACACAGCAUCCUUUUCAACAGAAGCAGAAGCUCAUCUGAAUAUGCUCAUGGAUGCUGACAUCAACAUUUAAUCAUCUCCUCACUCAUCCAGGAAGAGGGGGAGAUCAGUUACUACUGUACUUUAUUGUGUUCAACCAAAUCACCAUGUUACAAAAAUAGCAAGCUGCCAUAAUAAAAAAUAAGGCUCCUCUA
Molecule: long non-coding RNA, 253 nt
Filed under: Rattus norvegicus (Norway rat)
Lineage: Eukaryota; Metazoa; Chordata; Mammalia; Rodentia; Muridae
Description: long non-coding RNA NONRATT033951
Source: RNAcentral